This 253-nucleotide ribosomal RNA is filed under the name uncultured bacterium. RNAcentral describes it as "partial 16S ribosomal RNA". It matches the Rfam family "Bacterial small subunit ribosomal RNA", at positions 524 to 776 of the family's 1533-position model. The record is from RNAcentral.
UACAGAGGGUGCAAGCGUUGUUCGGAAUUACUGGGCGUAAAGCGCACGUAGGCGGACUGGAAAGUCAGAGGUGAAAUCCCAGGGCUCAACCUUGGAACUGCCUUUGAAACUCCCGGUCUUGAGGUCGAGAGAGGUGAGUGGAAUUCCGAGUGUAGAGGUGAAAUUCGUAGAUAUUCGGAGGAACACCAGUGGCGAAGGCGGCUCACUGGCUCGAUACUGACGCUGAGGUGCGAAAGCGUGGGGAGCAAACAGG